GAUGAACGCUGGCGGCGUGCCUAAUACAUGCAAGUCGAGCGAACGGACGAGAAGCUUGCUUCUCUGAUGUUAGCGGCGGACGGGUGAGUAACACGUGGAUAACCUACCUAUAAGACUGGGAUAACUUCGGGAAACCGUAGCUAAUACCGGAUAAUAUUUUGAACCGCAUGGUUCAAAAGUGAAAGACGGUCUUGCUGUCACUUAUAGAUGGAUCCGCGCUGCAUUAGCUAGUUGGUAAGGUAACGGCUUACCAAGGCAACGAUGCAUAGCCGACCUGAGAGGGUGAUCGGCCACACUGGAACUGAGACACGGUCCAGACUCCUACGGGAGGCAGCAGUAGGGAAUCUUCCGCAAUGGGCGAAAGCCUGACGGAGCAACGCCGCGUGAGUGAUGAAGGUCUUCGGAUCGUAAAACUCUGUUAUUAGCGAAGAACAAAUGUGUAAGUAACUGUGCACAUCUUGACGGUACCUAAUCAGAAAGCCACGGCUAACUACGUG
RNAcentral lists this ribosomal RNA (497 nucleotides) under uncultured bacterium. RNAcentral describes it as "partial 16S ribosomal RNA". It matches the Rfam family "Bacterial small subunit ribosomal RNA", at positions 28 to 507 of the family's 1533-position model. The record is from RNAcentral.